RNAcentral lists this ribosomal RNA (1350 nucleotides) under metagenome. RNAcentral describes it as "bacterial LSU rRNA". It matches the Rfam family "Bacterial large subunit ribosomal RNA", at positions 1555 to 2925 of the family's 2925-position model. The record is from RNAcentral.
GGGAAGCCGUGAUGCGGAGCGAAAUAAAGUAGCGAAGUCCGUGAGCCAUGCGUCAAGAAAAGCCGCUAUCGUUUAUACCGUACCCGUACCGUAAACCGACACAGGUGGAUGAGGAGAGAAUCCUAAGGCCGGCGGAAGAAGCAUUGUCAAGGAACUCGGCAAAAUGGCCCCGUAACUUAGGGAUAAGGGGUGCCUGGGAAACCGGGCCGCAGAGAAUAGGCUCAAGCAACUGUUUAGCAAAAACACAGGUCUAUGCGAAACCGAAAGGUGAGGUAUAUGGGCUGACGCCUGCCCGGUGCUGGAAGGUUAAGAGGAGAGGUUAGCGCAAGCGAAGCUUUGAAUUUAAGCCCCAGUAAACGGCGGCCGUAACAAUAACGGUCCUAAGGUAGCGAAAUUCCUUGUCGGGUAAGUUCCGACCCGCACGAAAGGCGUAAUGAUUUGAGCGCUGUCUCGACAAUGCAUCCGGUGAAAUUGAAGUACCAGUGAAGAUGCUGGUUACCUGCGCCAGGACGGAAAGACCCCAUGGAGCUUUACUCCAGUUUGGUACUGGGACUCGGUAUUGCAUGUACAGGAUAGGUGGGAGGCUAGGAGAUAGUAACGCCAGUUAUUAUGGAGCCGCUGUUGGGAUACCACCCUUGCAGUAUUGGGUUUCUAACCAGCCGCCGUGACCCGGCGGUGGGACAAUGCCAGACGGGGAGUUUGACUGGGGCGGUCGCCUCCGAAAGGGUAUCGGAGGCGCCCAAAGGUUCCCUCAGAAUGGACGGAAACCAUUCGAAGAGUGCAAAGGCAGAAGGGAGCUUGACUGCGACACCGACGGGUGGAGCAGGUACGAAAGUAGGGCUUAGUGAUCCGGUGGUAUUAAGUGGGAAUGCCAUCGCUCAACGGAUAAAAGCUACCCUGGGAUAACAGGCUUAUCACUCCCAAGAGUUCACAUCGACGGAGUGGUUUGGCACCUCGAUGUCGGCUCAUCGCAUCCUGGGGCUGUAGUAGGUCCCAAGGGUUGGGCUGUUCGCCCAUUAAAGCGGUACGCGAGCUGGGUUCAGAACGUCGUGAGACAGUUCGGUCCCUAUCCGGCGUGGGCGUAGGAUAUCUGAGAGGAGCUGUCCUUAGUACGAGAGGACCGGGAUGGACGGGCCGCUGGUGCAUCGGUUAGACUGCCAAGUCUACGGCCGAGUAGCCAAGCCCGGAAGGGAUAAACGCUGAAGGCAUCUAAGCGUGAAGCCCUCCUUAAGAUGAGAUAUCCUAUUCGAAAGAAGUAAACCCCCUUGAAGACGACGAGGUAGAUAGGGCAGAGGUGGAAGUGUGGCAACACAUGGAGCUGACUGUUACUAAUCGGGUGAGGGCUUGAUC